UUAGACGCUGGCGGCAGGCCUAACACAUGCAAGUCGAGCGGUAGCACAAGAGAGCUUGCUCUCUGGGUGACGAGCGGCGGACGGGUGAGUAAUGUCUGGGAAACUGCCUGAUGGAGGGGGAUAACUACUGGAAACGGUAGCUAAUACCGCAUAACGUCUUCGGACCAAAGUGGGGGACCUUCGGGCCUCACGCCAUCAGAUGUGCCCAGAUGGGAUUAGCUAGUAGGUGGGGUAAUGGCUCACCUAGGCGACGAUCCCUAGCUGGUCUGAGAGGAUGACCAGCCACACUGGAACUGAGACACGGUCCAGACUCCUACGGGAGGCAGCAGUGGGGAAUAUUGCACAAUGGGCGCAAGCCUGAUGCAGCCAUGCCGCGUGUGUGAAGAAGGCCUUCGGGUUGUAAAGCACUUUCAGCGAGGAGGAAGGGUGGUGUGUUAAUAGCACAUCACAUUGACGUUACUCGCAGAAGAAGCACCGGCUAACUCCGUGCCAGCCGCCGCGGUAAUACAA
Molecule: ribosomal RNA, 510 nt
Filed under: Serratia proteamaculans
Lineage: Bacteria; Pseudomonadati; Pseudomonadota; Gammaproteobacteria; Enterobacterales; Yersiniaceae
Description: bacterial SSU rRNA
Rfam family: Bacterial small subunit ribosomal RNA
Source: RNAcentral